GUCCCGCCUGCCCUGUGACCAUAGAUUCAACGGCCGCGGUAUUUUGACCGUGCAAAGGUAGCGCAAUCAUUUGUCUUUCAAAGGAAGACCUGUAUGAAUGGCACCACGAAGGCUUAACUGUCUCCUCUCCCCAGUCAAUGAAAUUGAUCUCCCCGUGCAGAAGCGGGGAUACUUACAUAAGACGAGAAGACCCUGUGGAGCUUUAGACACAAGGAAGAUCCUGUCCAAACCCCCGGACAAGGGCCAAAACCAAUGGAACCCUUCCCUAUUGUCUUUGGUUGGGACGACCGCGGGGAACACAAAACCCCCCAUGUGGAAAAGGAGCAUCCGCCCCCACAAGCAAGAGCCGCAGCUCUAACUAACAGAAUAUCUGACCAACAAGAUCCGGCAACGCCGAUCAACGGACCUAGUUACCCCAGGGAUAACAGCGCAAUCCCCUUUCAGAGCCCAUAUCGACAAGGGGGAUUACGACCUCGAUGUUGGAUCAGGACAUCCUAAUGGUGCAGCCGCUAUUAAGGGUCCGUUUGUUCAACG
RNAcentral lists this ribosomal RNA (534 nucleotides) under Ectreposebastes imus (midwater scorpionfish). Its description in RNAcentral is "partial 16S ribosomal RNA". It matches the Rfam family "Bacterial large subunit ribosomal RNA", at positions 1852 to 2586 of the family's 2925-position model. The record is from RNAcentral. Lineage: Eukaryota; Metazoa; Chordata; Actinopteri; Perciformes; Setarchidae.